RNAcentral lists this ribosomal RNA (560 nucleotides) under Clostridium botulinum C. Its description in RNAcentral is "bacterial SSU rRNA". It matches the Rfam family "Bacterial small subunit ribosomal RNA", at positions 978 to 1533 of the family's 1533-position model. The record is from RNAcentral. Lineage: Bacteria; Bacillati; Bacillota; Clostridia; Eubacteriales; Clostridiaceae.
GACUUGACAUCUCCUGAAUUACUCUUAAUCGAGGAAGUCCCUUCGGGGACAGGAAGACAGGUGGUGCAUGGUUGUCGUCAGCUCGUGUCGUGAGAUGUUGGGUUAAGUCCCGCAACGAGCGCAACCCUUAUUGUUAGUUGCUACUAUUAAGUUAAGCACUCUAACGAGACUGCCGCGGUUAACGUGGAGGAAGGUGGGGAUGACGUCAAAUCAUCAUGCCCCUUAUGUCUAGGGCUACACACGUGCUACAAUGGCUGGUACAACGAGCAGCAAACCCGCGAGGGGGAGCAAAACUUGAAAGCCAGUCCCAGUUCGGAUUGUAGGCUGAAACUCGCCUACAUGAAGUUGGAGUUGCUAGUAAUCGCGAAUCAGCAUGUCGCGGUGAAUACGUUCCCGGGUCUUGUACACACCGCCCGUCACACCAUGAGAGCCGGUAACACCCGCAGCCCGUGAGGUAACCGUAAGGAGCCAGCGGUCGAAGGUGGGAUUGGUGAUUGGGGUGAAGUCGUAACAAGGUAGCCGUAGGAGAACCUGCGGCUGGAUCACCUCCUUUCUAGGGA